This 253-nucleotide ribosomal RNA is filed under the name uncultured bacterium. RNAcentral's name for it is "partial 16S ribosomal RNA". It matches the Rfam family "Bacterial small subunit ribosomal RNA", at positions 524 to 776 of the family's 1533-position model. The record is from RNAcentral.
UACGGGGGGGGCAAGCGUUGUUCGGAAUUACUGGGCGUAAAGGGCUCGUAGGUGGCCAACUAAGUCAGACGUGAAAUCCCCCGGCUUAACCGGGGAACUGCGUCUGAUACUGGAUGGCUUGAGUUCGGGAGAGGGAUGCGGAAUUCCAGGUGUAGCGGUGAAAUGCGUAGAUAUCUGGAGGAACACCGGUGGCGAAGGCGGCAUCCUGGACCGAUACUGACGCUGAGGAGCGAAAGCCAGGGGAGCAAACGGG